Acanthosepion pharaonis is the source of this 105-nucleotide non-coding RNA. NCBI's taxonomy places the organism in Eukaryota, Metazoa, Mollusca, Cephalopoda, Sepiida, Sepiidae. The record is from the annotation of a GenBank genome assembly.
UAUGGUCAUAUCAUGUUAAAGCACCGAUUCCCGUACGAUCACCGAAGUUAAGCAACGUCGAUCCUGGUCAGUACCUAGAUGAGUGAUCAUAUAGGAAUACCAGGC